This 230-nucleotide long non-coding RNA is filed under the name Brassica napus (rape). RNAcentral's name for it is "long non-coding RNA (BNAP_LNC011284)". Lineage: Eukaryota; Viridiplantae; Streptophyta; Magnoliopsida; Brassicales; Brassicaceae. The record is from RNAcentral.
GAUGCAGCGGUGAGGAGUUGGUUUUGUCUGCUGAGUUGAAGGGUCUCUCGACAGAUGAUGCUUUGGGUUAGUGAUGAUGGAUUGUGCCAGAUAUGGUUCGGCUUGGCGAUAGUAGUGGAGUGUUGCUGCCUCUUUACUUUUCGUCGUCCGCCUUCUUCUUGAUGACCUAUAUAUGAUUCUGUCUAGGGUUCGUCAAAGCUUAUCCUCUCUUUUAGAGCAAAUCGGCGUUG